This 31-nucleotide non-coding RNA is filed under the name Rattus norvegicus (Norway rat). The record is from RNAcentral. Lineage: Eukaryota; Metazoa; Chordata; Mammalia; Rodentia; Muridae.
UAACAAAACUUCUAUGACUUUUUAUACUGUA